This 1365-nucleotide ribosomal RNA is filed under the name uncultured bacterium. Its description in RNAcentral is "partial 16S ribosomal RNA". It matches the Rfam family "Bacterial small subunit ribosomal RNA", at positions 8 to 1361 of the family's 1533-position model. The record is from RNAcentral.
AGAGUUUGAUCCUGGCUCAGGAUGAACGCUAGCUACAGGCUUAACACAUGCAAGUCGAGGGGCAGCAUGGGGUGGCAACACCCCGAUGGCGACCGGCGCACGGGUGAGUAACGCGUAUCCAACCUACCCCACACUCUGGAAUAGCCCUCUGAAAGGAGGAUUAAUGCCGGAUGUGCUUGCGAGGGGACAUCCCCUUGCAAGUAAAGAUUCAUCGGUAUGGGAUGGGGAUGCGACUGAUUAGGUAGUAGGCGGGGCAACGGCCCACCUAGCCGACGAUCAGUAGGGGUUCUGAGAGGAAGGUCCCCCACAUAGGAACUGAGACACGGUCCUAACUCCUACGGGAGGCAGCAGUGAGGAAUAUUGGUCAAUGGUCGAGAGACUGAACCAGCCAAGUAGCGUGAAGGAAGACUGCCCUAUGGGUUGUAAACUUCUUUUACAGGGGAAUAAAGUGCGUCACGUGUGGCGCAUUGCAUGUACCCUGCGAAUAAGCAUCGGCUAAUUCCGUGCCAGCAGCCGCGGUAAUACGGAAGAUGCGAGCGUUAUCCGGAUUUUAUUGGGUUUAAAGGGAGCGUAGGCGGGCUUUUAAGUCUGCGGUUAAAUGUCGGUGCUCAACGCCGUCAUGCCGGGGGAAAACGGAGGGUCUUGAAUACACACAAGGAAAGUGGAAUUCGUGGUGUAGCGGGGAAAAUGAUUAGAAAUCACGAAGAACUCCGAUUGCGAAGGCAGCUUUUUGGGGGGUGCUAAUUGACGCUGAGGGUGGAAAGUGCGGGUAUCAAACACGAUUAGAUACCCUGGUAGUCCGCACAGUAAACGAUGAAUGCUCGUCCUUGGCGACAGACAAGUCAGGGACCAAGUGAAAGCAUUAAGCAUUCCACCUGGGGAGUACGCCGGCAACGGUGAAACUCAAAGGAAUUGACGGGGGCCCGCACAAGCGGAGGAACAUGUGGUGUAAUUGGAUGAUACGUGAGGAACGUUACCCGGGCUUGAUAUUGAGGAGGGAUGGCGCAGAGACGGGUCAGUCAGCAAUGACCUCUAUGCAGGUGCCGCAUGGUUGUCGUCAGCUCGUGCCGUGAGGUGUCGGCUUAAGUGCCAUAACGAGCGCAGCCCUUGCUGCCCGUUUCCCUCAGGUUUUGUUGGGCACUCUGGCGGGACUGCCAUCGCAAGAUGUGAGGAAGGCGGGGAUGACGUCAAAUCAGCACGGCCCUUACGUCCGGGGCUACACACGUGUUACAAUGGGGGGCACAGAGAGCAGCUUGCCGGCGACGGCCGGCGAAUCUUGAAAUCCCCUCUCAGUUCGGCCUGGAAACUGCAACCCGCACUCCACGAAGCUGGAUUCGCUAGUAAUCGCGCAUCAGCCAUGGCGCG